GGUAGUAUGGCUGAUUUAAGCGGUAAUCUGUAAAAUUACACAUAGGUUCAUCCUUUCUACCA
This 62-nucleotide transfer RNA is filed under the name Hebius craspedogaster (Kuatun keelback). Its description in RNAcentral is "tRNA-Tyr". Lineage: Eukaryota; Metazoa; Chordata; Lepidosauria; Squamata; Natricidae. The record is from RNAcentral.